Molecule: ribosomal RNA, 378 nt
Filed under: uncultured marine eukaryote
Lineage: Eukaryota
Description: SSU rRNA
Rfam family: Eukaryotic small subunit ribosomal RNA
Source: RNAcentral
UUAAAAAGCUCGUAGUUGGAUUUCUGGCCGAGUGUCCCCAGGCCAGCAUGACGUUUGGUCCUGGGCGCUCUGCCAUCCUUCUGUCAACCUUUGCCUCGUUCGUUCGUGGCGCUGGGGCUCAGAUAUUUUACCUUGAGAAAAUUAGAGUGUUUCAGGCAGGCUUUCGCCGGAAUACAUUAGCAUGGAAUAAUGGAAAAGGACUUCAACCUCUUCUGUUGGUCUGAGAGGCUGUAGUAAUGAUUAAUAGGGAUAGUUGGGGGCAUUAGUACUUAACUGUCAGAGGUGAAAUUCUCCGAUUUGUUAAAGACUAACUUAUGCGAAAGCAUUUGCCAAGGAUGUUUUCAUUAAUCAAGAAUCGAAAGUUAGGGGAUCCAAGAC